CGCCUCUUGCAAAACCAAAGAAUAAGAGGUCCCGCCUGCCCGGUGACUAUAUGUUUAACGGCCGCGGUAUUUUGACCGUGCGAAGGUAGCGUAAUCACUUGUCUUUUAAAUGGAGACCUGUAUGAAUGGCAUAACGAGGGCUUAACUGUCUCCUCUUUCCAGUCAAUGAAAUUGAUCUCCCCGUGCAGAAGCGGGGAUAGACACAUAAGACGAGAAGACCCUAUGGAGCUUUAGACACCAAGACAGAUCAUGUUAAACACCCCCUGACAAGGGCCCAAACUUAAUGACUCCCUGUCCUAAUGUCUUCGGUUGGGGCGACCAUGGGGAAGCACAAAACCCCCAUGUGGACUGGGAGAACAAACCCAAUACUCUUUUCCCACACUCCCACAAGCAAGAGCCACAUCUCUAACUAACAGAACCUCUGACCUCUUAUGAUCCGGCUUCUGCCGAUCAACGGACCAAGUUACCCUAGGGAUAACAGCGCAAUCCCCUUUUAGAGCCCAUAUCGACAAGGGGGUUUACGACCUCGAUGUUGGAUCAGGACAUCCUAAUGGUGCAGCCGCUAUUAAGGGUUCGUUUGUUCAACGAUUAAAGUCCU
This 598-nucleotide ribosomal RNA is filed under the name Caranx crysos (blue runner). RNAcentral describes it as "partial 16S ribosomal RNA". It matches the Rfam family "Bacterial large subunit ribosomal RNA", at positions 1817 to 2597 of the family's 2925-position model. The record is from RNAcentral. Lineage: Eukaryota; Metazoa; Chordata; Actinopteri; Carangiformes; Carangidae.